AUACGUAGGGGGCGAGCGUUGUCCGGAAUGAUUGGGCGUAAAGGGCGCGUAGGCGGCGCGGUAAGUCUGGAGUGAAAGUCCUGCUUUCAAGGUGGGAAUUGCUUUGGAUACUGCCGCGCUUGAGUGCAGGAGAGGUUAUCGGAAUUCCCGGUGUAGCGGUGAAAUGCGUAGAGAUCGGGAGGAACACCAGUGGCGAAGGCGGGUAACUGGGCAGUAACUGACGCUGAGGCGCGAAAGUGUGGGGAGCAAACAGGAUUAGAUACCCUGGGAGUCCACGCCGUAAACGAUGGGUACUAGGUGCCGGGGGGAGCGACCCUUUGGGUGCCGGCGCUAACACAGGAAGCACCCCGCCUGGGGAGUACGACCGCAAGGUUGAAACUCAAAGGAAUUGACGG
This 395-nucleotide ribosomal RNA is filed under the name uncultured bacterium. RNAcentral describes it as "partial 16S ribosomal RNA". It matches the Rfam family "Bacterial small subunit ribosomal RNA", at positions 523 to 916 of the family's 1533-position model. The record is from RNAcentral.